GACGGAGGGCGCGAGCGUUGUUCGGAAUUACUGGGCGUAAAGCGCGCGCAGGCGGACUCGUGCGUCGGGAGUGAAAGCCCGGGGCUCAACCCCGGUGUUUGCUUCCGAUACGGCGGGUCUAGGGACCGGUAGAGGCCGGUGGAAUUCCCGGUGUAGCGGUGGAAUGCGUAGAGAUCGGGAAGAACACCAGUGGCGAAGGCGGCCGGCUGGGCCGGAGGGCUCUUCUUCGGAGGAGUGUCCGACGCUCAUGCG
Molecule: unclassified non-coding RNA, 252 nt
Filed under: uncultured Gemmatimonadota bacterium
Lineage: Bacteria; Pseudomonadati; Gemmatimonadota
Description: uncultured Gemmatimonadetes bacterium contains 16S-23S intergenic spacer region
Rfam family: Bacterial small subunit ribosomal RNA
Source: RNAcentral